UGCUUGUUGUCCCUUUCCCUGCCCAAUAUAAAUGAAUCUCCAAAGUGUGACUGGUUGCAUCUGCCACAAAUGUUUUUACAACUGCCUUUCCAGGCCCUCCAGCAGCAUCCUCAAUAUUGAAAUCCUUCAGUUCUAGUUUUCCCUACAUACAACAAAUUCCAUCAUCAUCAUUACCGUCACCAUCUUAACCUUUACCCCAGAACUUUGGGGUUGGCUUUCAACUGAGGUAUUAUAUUGAUUGGCUGCCCAAACAGACAUCAACCAGCCAUGGCAGAGGGUCACAUGACACCAUUUGCAUGCCAGCACGGUCCCACACUCCCACCCAAUAUUGACCUCCAGCCCAACUGUUACAUGCACACUGUAGAAAGCACCAAACAAAAUAGGGUCAUGGUGUUCAUAACAAAAUGUCUUUUGUUGGAUGGGGUUUGAUAUUGGAUUUAUGGGAGAGUGCCAAACUCUAUGUCAACACAUGAAGUGAUAGCUGCUGGCAAACCACUACGCACAAAGCACCCACAUGCAUGAAGGUUCAUGCUCAAUUAGUUGUCUGCACAACAUAUCAGGGAAACCACCAAUGCAUGUUUACCAAACACUGCUCACAUGACAAAUAAUUGAUGCACAACACUGCACCUUAGAAUAACUAUUGGCCAUUAGCUGAAAAGGGAAAUUUUCAAUCAAUCAAGGUCUAUGGCAUGCAAUGCCAAACAAGUUUACUAGGCAGACAACCCCCAAUUUCUGAUCUUGAUUGAGAAUUGUAUCAUUACGAUUAUUGUGCCAUCCUUAAACGGGUUUAAAUCUGCUGCUGCUGCUGCUGUUGUUUUCUUAAGGUCCGGAUUGUCACAAGUGUGGAGGCUAAUUCAUGAACCUAGAUUGGAAGAUUCCAACAACCUUGGUGGUCCAUGCACCAACAAAAUUUAAACAAUAAAAAUAAAAAUCUUUUCAGUUGAAAAUUCCCAUCCUUCAGGAAAAGGUUGGAUUUGAAGAAUAAUCAUGUGUAUUUGGGUCAUGUGUAUUAUAGGUCCUAUCUCUCCAUAUGUCACAUUAGUUAUAUAUGAAAAGAUAAUCAAUUAUUCACUCAAGAUCAUCAACUAUCUACCCUGUUUCAAUCUAGAUAAGGAAAAGCAGUAUUUGGUCUAGCUGGAUGGAUCUGACUAAUAAAUUGGACCUUACUAAUAAAUUGGAAUUUUUUAUUUAGUAAAUGUUUUGUUGAUGUACAUGCAUUGUAGUUCCAUUAAAUUCUCAACCUUGAUCAUUCUGAUGAUUAUAAUGCAAGAAAUGGUUUGUUUAUGUUUAAAGUGGCUAGGAGAUGUAUUGGCAUGAAUUUUCUUGGGCUGGAAAUAAAUAAGAAGCUUGUGAAACGAUGUCUAGAUUUUGUUCAACAAGGCUUGAAGAAUGUGGUGCUAUUAAUGUGGCUUUUGUGGAGGCCAUCAGGCCCCAUGUUCUAGCACUCCGGAGCAGCCCUUAUGGGAGGAAAGUCCUUUCAAGCAACAGCCUGAAGAAGUAAUUUAGGCUGUUUCAGGAAGUUCUGCAAGUGGGUAAUCACUUUUCCAUUUUUUUUUUCCCAAAUGAUCGUUUAGGUGUUCAUCAUUUUCUUGGCAAGUGCAGAUAAAAGAUCCAUAACAUAUUGAAUUUUUACAGCCAUCUGAAAAGUUCGAUCUGAAUUUUUACAGCCCCUCUUAUUUCUAUGAUAGUUUCCAAUAACACAAGGCGAAUGAUUUGUUUUACAUGGCUUCAAGGGAAUCCUGUAUGUACUGAUGCAAAUGAAGUCAACGUAAUCAAGUUCUGUGGGUCUCAGAAUGGAAAUGGAGUGACACCUGGAGGCUCAACAAACGCCACACCCAUUUGUCCCACUCUAGCAUGCCGUUUAGAUUUCAAUUUUGAAUGUUUCAGAAUCGUGUCUUCUUCUUCUUCUUCUUCUUCUUUUUUUUAAUGAAAUAAAAGUCUCUCAUGGUGCUUGUGAAGAACCUACAGGUAAUCUGUCGAAUUUUCAGAAACCUUUCGGGCAUGGUCCAAGCCUUGGAUGCUGAACUUCUAGAAGAAAGGCAUUGUGCGACAUUUGAAUGACAUGGGUGAUUCAGAAACUCUCAGCCAUGAGCCAUAGGAGUCCUCUUUGCUGGUAGAAAAUGAUGAAAAGAACUCGGUUGGUAAUUUCAAGAGCCCCAUGGAUGCUAACAAAAAGCGUAAAAGACGAAGUAUUGCCAAAUUGGCAAAGUAAACUUCUUUCGUUUCUUGUCUUUAUAAUAAAUUUGCAGUGGUUCUGUUUUAUUUUUGGAAUUAAGUGUUGGCUGUUACAUACAAUAGUUGUCAGUGUUGGAGAUCCUUGGGUAACAACAUUUAAUCAAUCACAUCUUUAUGUGUUGGUUGGAGAUGUCUUUCUUUUCCACCUUUUAUUCUUGGACAAAAUUUCGUUACUAGUUAAAUAUUAAUGCUCCCAAUUCUUGGACCUUGUUACCACUUCAAUCAUGUUGGAGUCAAAACCGGUUUGCUUCUACCUCCUGAACUGACCAUUGUUGUUGGCAUUGAGAGUUCUAUUUGGAACACUAUAUC
Molecule: long non-coding RNA, 2544 nt
Organism: Magnolia sinica
Lineage: Eukaryota; Viridiplantae; Streptophyta; Magnoliopsida; Magnoliales; Magnoliaceae
Exons: 5
Source: RefSeq, a predicted model, not a curated record